AGGAUGUUCCAGUGUGAAUACUAGUUCCUCCUGUCACUCUUGUAUUCAAAGCAGGAGGCAUACCUUAUCUGCUGAGCAACUGGCUGGUGUAAUUCUAAACUUUGGAGUGAAGUGGAAACAAUUUCUUAUCAUCUUGGCACCUGAAGUACUGAGAUUCUGAAGUCCCUGGGAAGAUGUAAAACUGGAACCUGUUUCAUCCUCAACAUUUAGUUUGGAGGCCACAACAUGCUUGUAUAUUCUCAGUAAUGAAUAAAUAACAAAACCAAAUGAACAGUUUGUCACACAGUAAAUCUUUUAAUAAUUUCAGGUAUAAAAUAGGUCAAAAGCUUUUAUUAAGACAGGUACAACAUCGUAAUGAAUAACUUAAGUUUUGAAACCCAACAGAUCCAUCUUAUAUGAACAGACUUCUUAUUCCACAGUGGUGCCAGUUUAGGUUUUGGACUAAACUCACAUUUAACCCAUUUUUAUUUAUUUAUUUAUUUAUUUAAUUCUUUAGAUACCUAACUUUAAAAAAAAGAAGAAGAAUUGAAGUGUUGUUGGAAAAGGUGGCAAAAGGACCAAAUCAAAUGAUCAACUACAAUCAAAUUCUGAAGCAAUCUUUCUGUAUCUUGAUGAAGUGACAAUUAAGGAGAAACUCUGAACAGUUUUGGCUAUUUGGUAAUAUUGGUUUGUAAAUGUGUAUCCUCAGUUAACCUUCAACCUACCUAAGACUCAGAAUAUUUGGAAAUCAAUUGUAAUGUAGAUUGUGUGAUGUAAUUUUUAAUGUUUUUUUCUCUUGGAUUUUUCCAUCCAGGGUUCCAGGUUAGUGUGGUUAGAGAGCAAGCUAACUGUGGGGAAGAGGACCGCCUGGGGCAUUUUGUCCCUGGCUCUCAAGUGACUAAGGAAGGGGCUUGGCAAACUGUUCUGCAGCAUGGAGAAGGAAGACCUCAAGAUUGUCAACAAGGGGGAAGAGGAGGAGAUGGAGCUGCAGGGCUACCGUCUGUGUCGUUGGCGGCUGGCCCUGGUGGGCCUCGGGGUGCUGUGUACAGGGGGCUUCCUUCUCCUGGUGCUCUACUGGAUGCCAGAAUGGUGCGUCAAGUCCACCUGCACUCGUACCACAGCCCGUGAUGCCCAAGUGGUGUUGCUGCGCUCCACGGUAGGUAGCAAGUAAAGCAGCAGUGAGUCAUUAUUAUUCAAAAAAGAGAAAAAUUAUUUACUUAGAAAAUAAGUUUUUCUAUUUUUUUCUCUCUUUCUUCGUAUUAAAUGGGUUUUUAAUAUUUGGUUGGAAAAAAUCUAAUCAAGAAAUUGUGAAAGGAAGUGGUGGAUUUUAGAGAUUGAACAUUUUAUCAACAAACUAAUCAAAACAUAUUAAAACAAUUUUGGCUUCUUUUUUAUUUAUUAUUUGGUGUUGCCAAUUCAUGAAACAAAUGGUAAAGACGUAAUUAGAAGUAACUAUUUUGAAGACUAGUAAAUAAUAAUAAUAAUAAUUAACAUUUAAUUUUAAUAUGUGCAAACACAGUUGUGGGCUUUUUCUUUGCUGUUUUUUUUUGUUGAUUUCUGUCUGUCUACAUUAUUAUUAGGGCCCGAGCACCGAAAGUGCGAAGGCCCUUUUGUAUCUGCUCCGUUUCUUCUUCUUAUUAUUAUUAUUCAGGCAAAACAAGGGCCUUUUUGAGGGCCUAAACAUGCUCAAAAACUCAUGAAAUUUUGCACACAUGCCAGGUCUGGUGAAAAAUUUUGUAUUUUAAUGGUUUUACAUAUGAGCACUGGGAAAUGGCUCUACAGCGCCACCUAUGCCUUGUUAAAUGCAGCCCUACGACCACAUCGUUUCAGCUACAUGUAUGAAAUUUGACACACCUGUGUACCAUGCCAAGACGAACAAAAAAUUCUGUGGGCACAUUGACGCAAACCCAACAGGAAGUCCGGCAUUUGGACGUGAAGGUGACAUUUUGGCUCCAAUUUUGCCAUUUCCAUGCCUCGAACUUUUUCGAACUCCUCCUUGGGAUUAGGUCGUAUAAGCUUCAUCUUUGGUCAGUGUCAACUACACACCUGGGCCAUGUUAAAUUGCGGAGCUUUUGAGUUUUCGUGAUAUGGUGAGGCCGUGGCGCCACGGCGAAUUUCGAUGACUCGCCAUGAAAAUCUUAUAGCCUCUCAUUCUGUCAUACAUUGUCCGAUCUGGACCAAAGAGCACACAUAUGAGCCUCCACCCCUGAACAUAUUUCAACUGUCACAUUUGACAUCAAGGACAGCGCCACCUAGUGGGAACAGGAAAUGUAUUCACUUCCGGCGCCCCCCGUGUGCGGCAGCCUGUUACAGCAGCUCUGCUCAUUCUGAGUUUCUUUCUUUCUUAUCUUUUUUCCCGUAAUUUUUUUUAUAACUAACGUAUUAGUAAUUAGACUCUGCAACCAUGUUCUACCGUUUUGUGCUAGUUCUGGUCGUUUCUCUCAGUUUAUUUCUACUUUUUUCACCCGUGUCUGGGGACCCAGAGCAGAGAUCCUUUGUUUACAGUAAGGAUCAGCUGUUAGCGCUGCGUCCUGCAGCGGUACUGCCGGCGGACA
Long non-coding RNA from Haplochromis burtoni (Burton's mouthbrooder), 2534 nucleotides. RefSeq lists it as uncharacterized. NCBI's taxonomy places the organism in Eukaryota, Metazoa, Chordata, Actinopteri, Cichliformes, Cichlidae. The transcript has 3 exons. The record is from RefSeq and is a predicted model, not a curated record.